Molecule: long non-coding RNA, 592 nt
Organism: Helianthus annuus (common sunflower)
Lineage: Eukaryota; Viridiplantae; Streptophyta; Magnoliopsida; Asterales; Asteraceae
Exons: 3
Source: RefSeq, a predicted model, not a curated record
UACAAACCAAUCAUAACCCGUUCCCAUAAUUUGCGAGACACGUGAACACUAUAAAACCGUGACGAAAUUCACAGCCGUUUAUCAUUCUCUUCAUUACCUUUACAUGAUCCUACAACCUUUCCCCAUCCUCUGUUAUAACACCACAACUCUCCCCGUAACUUACACCUUGCCGGAAGAUCAAAAUCGCCUCGCCGCGUUACAAAGUCGUUGCUGGAAUCGGAGUUCACGUCGGAUCCGAACCUUCAUUGGUUCGGUACACCCUUACCCGUCGGAGACGUAGAAGCUUUGCCGGAGAGAACCGACGCCGCCGGGAAACGGAAACAGCCACCACCACAACUCGCCGGAGCAUACGUCAUUCCUUGAAUUGGAUCACCAUUACGUUCGUUCUCUUGGAUUUCUCCGAUCUUUACUCGUGCGUUAUUACAGGAAAUCGCAACGAAAUCUAAGGUUGAUUAUUCAAGAAUCAAGAAAGAAGCUAGGAUGGCAUUAGAAACCCAUUUUAGCAUUUUAGUUAAUGUUGAAUUUAUGUUUGUUUAUUUGAGACAAUGUACCUUAAUUAGAAUUUAAUAAAAUGAUUUAAUUUAUAUUGUCA